Molecule: ribosomal RNA, 276 nt
Filed under: uncultured bacterium
Lineage: Bacteria
Description: partial 16S ribosomal RNA
Rfam family: Bacterial small subunit ribosomal RNA
Source: RNAcentral
CCGGGGUCGGACCGGACCGGCGACGACGGUAGGUAACGCGUAUGCAACUUACCUAUCAGAGGGGAUAACCCGGCGAAAGUCGGACUAAUACCGCAUGAAGCAGGGGCCCCGCAUGGGGAUAUUUGCUAAAGAUUCAUCGCUGAUAGAUAGGCAUGCGUUCCAUUAGGCAGUUGGCGGGGUAACGGCCCACCAAACCGACGAUGGAUAGGGGUUCUGAGAGGAAGGUCCCCCACAUUGGUACUGAGACACGGACCAAACUCCUACGGGAGGCAGCAG